Molecule: transfer RNA, 85 nt
Filed under: Blumeria hordei DH14
Lineage: Eukaryota; Fungi; Ascomycota; Leotiomycetes; Helotiales; Erysiphaceae
Also listed under: 1 other name
Description: tRNA-His for anticodon GUG
Rfam family: tRNA
About the family: Transfer RNA (tRNA) molecules are approximately 80 nucleotides in length. Their secondary structure includes four short double-helical elements and three loops (D, anti-codon, and T loops). Further hydrogen bonds mediate the characteristic L-shaped molecular structure. tRNAs have two regions of fundamental functional importance: the anti-codon, which is responsible for specific mRNA codon recognition, and the 3' end, to which the tRNAs corresponding amino acid is attached (by aminoacyl-tRNA synthetases). tRNAs cope with the degeneracy of the genetic code in two manners: having more than one tRNA (with a specific anti-codon) for a particular amino acid; and 'wobble' base-pairing, i.e. permitting non-standard base-pairing at the 3rd anti-codon position.
Source: Rfam by way of RNAcentral
GGUGGUGUGGUGUAAUGGUAGCACGUGACGUUGUGGUUAAGCACACUGAUCCGUUUCAAUCUGGGUUCGAUUCCCAGCACCGCCA